UACGUAGGGCGCAAGCGUUGUCCGGAAUUAUUGGGCGUAAAGAGCUCGUAGGCGGCUUGUCACGUCGGGUGUGAAAGCCCGGGGCUUAACCCCGGGUCUGCAUUCGAUACGGGCAGGCUAGAGUGUGGUAGGGGAGAUCGGAAUUCCUGGUGUAGCGGUGAAAUGCGCAGAUAUCAGGAGGAACACCGGUGGCGAAGGCGGAUCUCUGGGCCAUUACUGACGCUGAGGAGCGAAAGCGUGGGGAGCGAACAGGAUUAGAAACCCCAGUAGUCC
This 273-nucleotide ribosomal RNA is filed under the name uncultured bacterium. RNAcentral's name for it is "partial 16S ribosomal RNA". It matches the Rfam family "Bacterial small subunit ribosomal RNA", at positions 524 to 796 of the family's 1533-position model. The record is from RNAcentral.